CCUUGACCUCAAAUCGGGUGAGACUACCCGCUGAACUUAAGCAUAUCAAUAAGCGGAGGAAAAGAAACUAACGAGGAUUCCCCUAGUAACUGCGAGUG
Molecule: ribosomal RNA, 98 nt
Filed under: uncultured Russula
Lineage: Eukaryota; Fungi; Basidiomycota; Agaricomycetes; Russulales; Russulaceae
Description: partial 28S ribosomal RNA
Rfam family: Eukaryotic large subunit ribosomal RNA
Source: RNAcentral